AGGGGCAUCGGGAAGAAAACUUGCUUUCUUUGCCGGCGACCGGCGCACGGGUGAGUAACACGUAUCCAACCUGCCCUUUACUCGGGGAUAGCCUUUCGAAAGAAAGAUUAAUACCCGAUAGCAUAAUGAUUCCGCAUGGUUUCAUUAUUAAAGGAUUCCGGUAAAGGAUGGGGAUGCGUUCCAUUAGGUUGUUGGUGAGGUAACGGCUCACCAAGCCUUCGAUGGAUAGGGGUUCUGAGAGGAAGGUCCCCCACAUUGGAACUGAGACACGGUCCAAACUCCUACGGGAGGCAGCAGUGAGGAAUAUUGGUCAAUGGGCGCUAGCCUGAACCAGCCAAGUAGCGUGAAGGAUGAAGGCUCUAUGGGUCGUAAACUUCUUUUAUAUAAGAAUAAAGUGCAGUAUGUAUACUGUUUUGUAUGUAUUAUAUGAAUAAGGAUCGGCUAACUCCGUGCCAGCAGCCGCGGUAAUACGGAGGAUCCGAGCGUUAUCCGGAUUUAUUGGGUUUAAAGGGAGCGUAGGUGGACUGGUAAGUCAGUUGUGAAAGUUUGCGGCUCAACCGUAAAAUUGCAGUUGAUACUGUCAGUCUUGAGUACAGUAGAGGUGGGCGGAAUUCGUGGUGUAGCGGUGAAAUGCUUAGAUAUCACGAAGAACUCCGAUUGCGAAGGC
This 667-nucleotide ribosomal RNA is filed under the name uncultured Bacteroidales bacterium. RNAcentral describes it as "bacterial SSU rRNA". It matches the Rfam family "Bacterial small subunit ribosomal RNA", at positions 65 to 722 of the family's 1533-position model. Lineage: Bacteria; Pseudomonadati; Bacteroidota; Bacteroidia; Bacteroidales. The record is from RNAcentral.